RNAcentral lists this ribosomal RNA (421 nucleotides) under uncultured Odoribacter sp. RNAcentral describes it as "partial 16S ribosomal RNA". It matches the Rfam family "Bacterial small subunit ribosomal RNA", at positions 355 to 774 of the family's 1533-position model. The record is from RNAcentral. Lineage: Bacteria; Pseudomonadati; Bacteroidota; Bacteroidia; Bacteroidales; Odoribacteraceae.
UGAGGAAUAUUGGUCAAUGGGCGAGAGCCUGAACCAGCCAAGUCGCGUGAAGGAUGACUGCCCUAUGGGUUGUAAACUUCUUUUAUUUGGGAAGAAUAAGCGGUACGUGUACCGUGAUGCCUGUACCAAAUGAAUAAGCAUCGGCUAACUCCGUGCCAGCAGCCGCGGUAAUACGGAGGAUGCGAGCGUUAUCCGGAUUUAUUGGGUUUAAAGGGUGCGUAGGUGGUUUUGUAAGUUAGUGGUUAAAUUGUCGGGCUCAACCCGAUCUCGCCAUUAAAACUGCAAGACUAGAGUAUAGACGAGGUAGGCGGAAUAAGUUAAGUAGCGGUGAAAUGCUUAGAUAUAACUUAGAACUCCGAUAGCGAAGGCAGCUUACCAGGCUAUAACUGACACUGAUGCACGAGAGCGUGGGUAGCGAACA